This 253-nucleotide ribosomal RNA is filed under the name uncultured bacterium. RNAcentral's name for it is "partial 16S ribosomal RNA". It matches the Rfam family "Bacterial small subunit ribosomal RNA", at positions 524 to 776 of the family's 1533-position model. The record is from RNAcentral.
UACGUAGGGUGCGAGCGUUAAUCGGAAUUACUGGGCGUAAAGCGUGCGCAGGCGGCUUUGCAAGACAGAUGUGAAAUCCCCGGGCUCAACCUGGGAACUGCAUUUGUGACUGCAAGGCUAGAGUACGGCAGAGUGGGAUGGAAUUCCGCGUGUAGCAGUGAAAUGCGUAGAUAUGCGGAGGAACACCAAUGGCGAAGGCAAUCCCCUGGGCCUGUACUGACGCUCAUGCACGAAAGCGUGGGGAGCAAACAAG